GAGGAGAGGAUAUGUUCAUGUGUGCACUAAUACACAUGCAUUGUUUGAUGUGCGGAGAAGUGACAUGAUUUUCACCAUAUGCACAGUCAUCCCGUGCAUAUGAUGCUUCGUUCAGGUUGCAUAUACAUGUACUUUUAUGUACUAUGCUUGUUGCGGACCAGAGAAAUGCCUCUUUUGUAGGAUUGGACAAGACAAAGCUUGAACGGUGGGAUAUCUUGGUGUGCAGCUUUUGCUUGACCAGCAGCGAACCGCCUUGUCAAUGGCAUAAGGUGCGGUGGCGACCUGUGGAUGUGACGGGUAGCACAGCAGCUGCGUGGUCCUUUAGAAGAUC
This 331-nucleotide small RNA is filed under the name Histoplasma capsulatum. RNAcentral's name for it is "hypothetical RNA". Lineage: Eukaryota; Fungi; Ascomycota; Eurotiomycetes; Onygenales; Ajellomycetaceae. The record is from RNAcentral. RNAcentral also lists the same sequence under 1 other name.